RNAcentral lists this ribosomal RNA (508 nucleotides) under uncultured bacterium. RNAcentral describes it as "partial 16S ribosomal RNA". It matches the Rfam family "Bacterial small subunit ribosomal RNA", at positions 28 to 523 of the family's 1533-position model. The record is from RNAcentral.
GAUGAACGCUAGCUACAGGCUUAACACAUGCAAGUCGAGGGGAAACGAUAGAGAAAGCUUGCUUUUUCUAGGCGUCGACCGGCGCACGGGUGAGUAACGCGUAUCCAACCUGCCCAUCACUUGGGGAUAACCUUGCGAAAGUAAGACUAAUACCCAAUGACGUCUCUAGAAGACAUCUGAAAGAGAUUAAAGAUUUAUCGGUGGUGGAUGGGGAUGCGUCUGAUUAGCUUGUUGGCGGGGUAACGGCCCACCAAGGCGACGAUCAGUAGGGGUUCUGAGAGGAAGGUCCCCCACAUUGGAACUGAGACACGGUCCAAACUCCUACGGGAGGCAGCAGUGAGGAAUAUUGGUCAAUGGACGAGAGUCUGAACCAGCCAAGUAGCGUGCAGGAUGACGGCCCUAUGGGUUGUAAACUGCUUUUAUAAGGGAAUAAAGUCGGGUAUGCAUACUCGUUUGCAUGUACUUUAUGAAUAAGGAUCGGCUAACUCCGUGCCAGCCGCCGCCGUAA